UACGUAGGUGGCAAGCGUUGUCCGGAAUUACUGGGUGUAAAGCGCACGUAGUCGGCUUUGCAAGUCGGGUGUGAAAUCCCCGGGCUCAACCUGGGAACUGCAUCCGAGACUGCAUUGCUAGAGUAUGGGAGAGGGAAGCGGAAUUUCUGGUGUAGCAGUGAAAUGCGUAGAUAUCAGAAGGAACAUCAGUGGCGAAGGCGGCUUCCUGGACCAAUACUGACGAUCAGGUGCGAAAGCGUGGGGAGCAAACAGG
Molecule: ribosomal RNA, 253 nt
Filed under: uncultured bacterium
Lineage: Bacteria
Description: partial 16S ribosomal RNA
Rfam family: Bacterial small subunit ribosomal RNA
Source: RNAcentral